UUAUCGGAAUGAGAACAAUUCAAAUCCUUUAACGAGGAUCUAGCGGAGGGCAAGUCUGGUGCCAGCAGCCGCGGUAAUUCCAGCUCCGCAGGUGUAUAUCUAUGCUGCUGCGGUUAAAAAGCUCGUAGUUGGAUCUGCGUGCUCGGAACUGGUUGGCUCACUGAGUUCAAACUGGUCUCCGGCGCUUUAUUGGCUGGUUUUCCCUUGAUGCUCUUAACCGGGUGUCUUGGGUGGCUAGCACGUUUACUUUGAAAAAAUUAGGGUGCUCAAUACAGGCGUAAAGCCUUGAAUAGUGGUACAUAGAAUAAUAGAAUAGGACCUCGGCUCUAUUUUGUUGGUUUUCGGAACGCGAGGUAAUGAUUAAGAGGGACAGACGGGGGCAUUCGUAUUGCGACGUUAGAGGUGAAAUUCUUGGAUCGUCGCAAGACGGACGACUGCGAAAGCAUUUGCCAAGAAUGUUUUCAUUAAUCAAGAACGAAAGUUAGAGGUUCGAAGGCGAUCAGAUACCGCCCUAGUUCUAACCGUAAACGAUGCCAACUAGCGAUUCGCAGGCGUUAAACAACGACCUUGCGGGCAGCUUCCCGGAAACGAAAGUGUUCGGGUUCCGGGGGAAGUAUGGUUGCAAAGCUGAAACUUAAAGGAAUUGACGGAAGGGCACCACCAGGAGUGGAGCCUGCGGCUUAAUUUGACCCAACACGGGAAAACUCACCCGGCCCGGACGCCGUAAGGAUUGACAGAUUGAGAGCUCUUUCUUGAUUCGGUGGGUGGUGGUGCAUGGCCGUUCUUAGUUGGUGGAGCGAUUUGUCUGGUUUAUUCCGAUAACGAACGAGACUCUGGCCUACUAAAUAGUGGGCGGAUUCUUUCUGUCCGCAACACUUCUUAGAGGGACAAGCGGUGUUCAGCCGCACGAGAUUGAGCAAUAACAGGUCUGUGAUGCCCUUAGAUGUCCGGGGCUGCACGCGCGCUACACUGAAGGAAUCAGCGUGCUUUCUGACCUUGCCCGAAAGGGCUGGGUAACCCGAUGAAAAUCCUUCGUGAUUGGGAUAGGGACUUGCAAUUAUUUCCCUUGAACGAGGAAUUCCCAGUAAGUGUGGGUCAUAAGCUCGCGUUGAUUACGUCCCUGCCCUUUGUACACACCGCCCGUCGCUGCCCGGAACUGAGCCGUUUCGAGAAGAACAGGGACCGUCGUUGAAGGGCCUUAACGGGCUUUUCUCUGAUAGAAACUGUU
Molecule: ribosomal RNA, 1228 nt
Filed under: metagenome
Description: SSU rRNA
Rfam family: Eukaryotic small subunit ribosomal RNA
Source: RNAcentral